AAAUUGAAGAGUUUGAUAAUGGCUCAGAUUGAACGCUGGCGGCAGGCCUAACACAUGCAAGUCGAACGGUAGCACAGAGAGCUUGCUCUCGGGUGACGAGUGGCGGACGGGUGAGUAAUGUCUGGGAAACUGCCUGAUGGAGGGGGAUAACUACUGGAAACGGUGGCUAAUACCGCAUAACGUCGCAAGACCAAAGAGGGGGACCUUCGGGCCUCUUGCCAUCAGAUGUGCCCAGAUGGGAUUAGCUUGUUGGUGAGGUAACGGCUUACCAAGGCGACGAUCCCUAGCUGGUCUGAGAGGAUGACCAGCCACACUGGAACUGAGACACGGUCCAGACUCCUACGGGAGGCAGCAGUGGGGAAUAUUGCACAAUGGGCGCAAGCCUGAUGCAGCCAUGCCGCGUGUAUGAAGAAGGCCUUCGGGUUGUAAAGUACUUUCAGCGGGGAGGAAGGUGUUGUGGUUAAUAACC
This 469-nucleotide ribosomal RNA is filed under the name Salmonella enterica subsp. enterica serovar Livingstone. Its description in RNAcentral is "bacterial SSU rRNA". It matches the Rfam family "Bacterial small subunit ribosomal RNA", at positions 1 to 468 of the family's 1533-position model. The record is from RNAcentral. Lineage: Bacteria; Pseudomonadati; Pseudomonadota; Gammaproteobacteria; Enterobacterales; Enterobacteriaceae.